Long non-coding RNA from Poecilia latipinna (sailfin molly), 742 nucleotides. RefSeq lists it as uncharacterized. The record is from RefSeq and is a predicted model, not a curated record. Lineage: Eukaryota; Metazoa; Chordata; Actinopteri; Cyprinodontiformes; Poeciliidae. The transcript is spliced from 5 exons.
UUACCUUCAGACUGCCUAAUUCACCCUUCGUCAAACAGGGUGAAUGACACAGUCGGAGACGGACAGAAAAACAGAAAGACAGGAGAGGGGUGAUGCGACCCCGUGUCUAUUAAUCAGCUGCUCAGCCAUAGGCUCACAUCACAAGAGGAGAUAACGACUUUGUACACUUGCGCAAAGUCAUGUUGGAACGGGAUGGAGCCUUCCCGAAGCUAUCCCCAAAAAGAUGGAUUUGGAUGGAUGACCCAAUACUUCUGACGAAGAAAAGCCUGCUACCAGCUGCAGCUCAUCAGUUCAUCAACUCAGUGUUCUCGGUGCUUCAAGGAUUCAGAGAUAAUAUGUGGGAGUCUUCAGUCAGAAGUGACAUCUGCGUCUGGUCUCUUCCAGUUUCUGUAUUCUUCAUUAAUUAAACUGUUGCAGUCAUUCAUCACCUCAAACUAUUUGACCUGCCCAAAGCGCGCACUUGUUCAUUUCCACUCUACCUCUCCGAAGUGGCACUCUGCAAGCAAAUGAAAAAGACAGCAUACUUUGCUUUCAGGCCAUUACACACUCUCAUAUGGUUAUUCAAAGGGGCCCUUUUAUCAAAAAAUACAGCUUCAUGAAUGAUCAAUGCCGCUGUUAGAAGACCUUCCCCGACUCUUCAGGGCAGAAAUCAAGACUUGAUUUUAUGCAGAAUGAAUAGUUAAUGUUUAAAAAGUAAUUUCUCAAACCUGCAUGACAUUUACUAAUAAAAUCCUUGUUACAA